AGUUUGUGCAAACUACUUCAUAUAGACUAUCUCUGCAACCUGAUUAAAGUCUCAUGUUGAUUUUUCUUUUCUUUUCCCUUGCAGAGGUUGAUGAUCGAGAUUAUGUUGAAGUAUUGCCUUCUUAGAUUUUUUAUGUAAUUGCUCAUAUACCAUGAAAGCGAGGAAAAGAAGUAGACAAAAAAGGAGAAAGAAACCAUUUACAGUACUUAUGUCUUGAUGACCUAUAAUGAACCAUUAAAAGGACUGUGGCUAAUGGCUACCUCUAUCUGGAUGGAAUAUGAACUGGAACGGAAUCUUCUGAACAGUGGAAACACUCCUGACCCACCUGACUUUUUAUAUACAAAUGUGUAUAAUGUAAAGAGCAAUUUUCUACACAUACAAUGCAUAGUUUUAUAGAUCUGC
Pelobates cultripes (western spadefoot toad) is the source of this 402-nucleotide non-coding RNA. Lineage: Eukaryota; Metazoa; Chordata; Amphibia; Anura; Pelobatidae. The record is from the annotation of a GenBank genome assembly.